UGGGGAAUAUUGCACAAUGGGCGCAAGCCUGAUGCAGCCAUGCCGCGUGUGUGAAGAAGGCCUUCGGGUUGUAAAGCACUUUCAGCGAGGAGGAAGGUGGUGAACUUAAUACGUUCAUCAAUUGACGUUACUCGCAGAAGAAGCACCGGCUAACUCCGUGCCAGCAGCCGCGGUAAUACGGAGGGUGCAAGCGUUAAUCGGAAUUACUGGGCGUAAAGCGCACGCAGGCGGUUUGUUAAGUCAGAUGUGAAAUCCCCGGGCUCAACCUGGGAACUGCAUUGAAACUGGCAAGCUAGAGUCUCGUAGAGGGGGGUAGAAUUCCAGGGUGUAGCGGUGAAAUGCGUAGAGAUCUGGAGGAAUACCGGUGGCGAAGCGGCCCCCUGGACGAAGCACUGACGCUCAGGUGCGAAAGCGUGGGGAGCAAACAGG
Molecule: ribosomal RNA, 429 nt
Filed under: uncultured bacterium
Lineage: Bacteria
Description: partial 16S ribosomal RNA
Rfam family: Bacterial small subunit ribosomal RNA
Source: RNAcentral